RNAcentral lists this long non-coding RNA (708 nucleotides) under Mus pahari (shrew mouse). RNAcentral describes it as "predicted gene 29542 (MGP_PahariEiJ_G0003850.1)". Lineage: Eukaryota; Metazoa; Chordata; Mammalia; Rodentia; Muridae. The record is from RNAcentral.
ACUAAACAUUGGGUUUAAUAAAGUAUUUCUCAAAGUGGAACAGUGAAUUUUUUUUUUCAAUUUUUUACAAAUGGUCAUUUUUGGGAAAAUUUAUCACAUCAAAGUAACAGUUAAGAUAUAAUUGUGCUCAACCAAGCCACUUAUCUGCACUACAGAAUAGUACUUGAAAGCAAUCCUAAAGUCAGAUUAAAACCAUUUUGAGAGACAAGACUUGUGUUUAUAGCUAUCUCAAAAGAGGUAGCUUUCCUUCCAGUCAAAACUCAAUUAAGAUUGACUAAUUUAAUCUUUUUUUUCCUUGUCAUAUCUUCAGUUCAAAACACUAUGAUCACUGGUAAUACGGUCUGUAUCUUGUUUGAUCUGGAUGAUGCGGUCCAGGUAGUGGGGUUUGAGAAGGCGGGCCCUGCAUUCGUGGAGGAGGAGGUGGCCCUCUUGGUGCAGGCCAUAUACCAGGACUCAUUCCUCCUGGUUGUGUAAAUGGAGGGCUCAGAGUUCCUUGGUCUUCAGUAAACUGGGGUAAAGAGUUAGGAUUGUAAUGGUGAGGAGGGGGUGCAGUUACAGGUGGACCACCAUGCUGAGGUGGCAUCUGGGCAAUAAUAUGUCCAGGGGGAGGGGUUAUUGGGGGUGGAGCAGAGGUCAUUGGUGGGGGUGGUGGUUCUCUAGCACCUGAACUUGAGUCAUCCUGAAUAGGGACUGUUAUUAAAUUGCUGU